ACGGAAGGCAGCAGUGAGGAAUAUUGGUCAAUGGCCGGAAGGCUGAACCAGCCAUGCCGCGUGCAGGAAUAAGGCCCUAUGGGUCGUAAACUGCUUUUGUGGUGGAGCAAUAAGGCGUACGUGUACGCCGAUGAGAGUACAUCACGAAUAAGCAUCGGCUAACUCCGUGCCAGCAGCCGCGGUAAUACGGAGGAUGCAAGCGUUAUCCGGAUUUAUUGGGUUUAAAGGGUGCGUAGGCUGUGGUGCAAGUCAGUGGUGAAAGCCCGGGGCUUAACUCCGGAACUGCCAUUGAUACUGUACCGCUGGAAUACGGAUGCCGUGGGAGGAAUGAGUAGUGUAGCGGUGAAAUGCAUAGAUAUUACUCAGAACACCGAUUGCGAAGGCAUCUCACGAAUCCGUCAUUGACGCUGAGGCACGAAAGCGUGGGGAUCAAACAGGAUUAGAUACCCUGGUA
RNAcentral lists this ribosomal RNA (454 nucleotides) under uncultured bacterium. RNAcentral describes it as "partial 16S ribosomal RNA". It matches the Rfam family "Bacterial small subunit ribosomal RNA", at positions 341 to 792 of the family's 1533-position model. The record is from RNAcentral.